Molecule: non-coding RNA, 263 nt
Organism: Chiloscyllium plagiosum (whitespotted bambooshark)
Lineage: Eukaryota; Metazoa; Chordata; Chondrichthyes; Orectolobiformes; Hemiscylliidae
Source: RefSeq, a predicted model, not a curated record
CCCUCCCAUCCUCCUCCUCUAACCUAACUUUAAAGUCCACAGGAUGAGGGCAUCGCUGGUUAAGCCAGCAUUUAUUGACCCGAUUGCCCAGAGGGUCUUUAAGAGUCGACUACAUUGCUGUGGGUCUGGGAUUACACGGAGACCAGACAAAGUGAGACACUGGAGCAAGCAAGCACUAUGCUGGGAGUGAUGGAUAAGAAGUGUGGUUUAAAACAUAGUCCCAAUGUCAUUUGUACCUGUAAAAUACGAGCUGCGCAAUAAUA